This 22-nucleotide small nuclear RNA is filed under the name Arabidopsis thaliana (thale cress). Its description in RNAcentral is "snRNA_13207". Lineage: Eukaryota; Viridiplantae; Streptophyta; Magnoliopsida; Brassicales; Brassicaceae. The record is from RNAcentral.
GCCCCAAAAUGAAGCAUAAGGU